RNAcentral lists this small nuclear RNA (154 nucleotides) under Blumeria hordei DH14. RNAcentral describes it as "U1 spliceosomal RNA". It matches the Rfam family "U1 spliceosomal RNA". Rfam says of the family: U1 is a small nuclear RNA (snRNA) component of the spliceosome (involved in pre-mRNA splicing). Its 5' end forms complementary base pairs with the 5' splice junction, thus defining the 5' donor site of an intron. There are significant differences in sequence and secondary structure between metazoan and yeast U1 snRNAs, the latter being much longer (568 nucleotides as compared to 164 nucleotides in human). Lineage: Eukaryota; Fungi; Ascomycota; Leotiomycetes; Helotiales; Erysiphaceae. The record is from RNAcentral.
AUACUUACCUUCUUGACAUUGAGGCGCUCAAGCAAGCUUUCAGUGGCGACACGAAACCUCCAUUGCACAUCGGGGCGUUGAGAGUCGUUGACUUUCCUUCGGGGACGUCAUCGGGGGAAUUUUUGAUUGCAAACGGAUCUGAUCCAAACUUUUC